RNAcentral lists this ribosomal RNA (225 nucleotides) under uncultured bacterium. RNAcentral's name for it is "partial 16S ribosomal RNA". It matches the Rfam family "Bacterial small subunit ribosomal RNA", at positions 114 to 334 of the family's 1533-position model. The record is from RNAcentral.
CGCGUAGGUAACCUGCCUGGUAGCGGGGGAUAACUAUUGGAAACGAUAGCUAAUACCGCAUAACAGUAGGUAUCGCAUGAUAGCUGCUUAAAAGGUGCAACUGCACCACUACCAGAUGGACCUGCGUUGUAUUAGCUAGUUGGUGGGGUAACGGCUCACCAAGGCGACGAUACAUAGCCGACCUGAGAGGGUGAUCGGCCACACUGGGACUGAGACACGGCCCAG